Molecule: ribosomal RNA, 425 nt
Filed under: Ctenophora environmental sample
Lineage: Eukaryota; Metazoa; Ctenophora
Description: partial Bacterial small subunit ribosomal RNA
Rfam family: Bacterial small subunit ribosomal RNA
Source: RNAcentral
AGUUCGAGAGAGGUGAGUGGAAUUCCGAGUGUAGAGGUGAAAUUCGUAGAUAUUCGGAGGAACACCAGUGGCGAAGGCGGCUCACUGGCUCGAUACUGACGCUGAGGUGCGAAAGUGUGGGGAGCAAACAGGAUUAGAUACCCUGGUAGUCCACGCCGUAAACGAUCAUCACUCGCUGUUGGCGAUAUACUGUCAGCGGCCAAGCGAAAGUAUUAAGUGAUGCACCUGGGGAGUACGCCGGCAACGGUGAAACUCAAAGGAAUUGACGGGGGCCCGCACAAGCGGUGGAGCAUGUGGUUUAAUUCGAUGAUACGCGAGGAACCUUACCAGGGCUUAAAUGUAGAUUGACAGGUUUAGAGAUAGACUUUUCUUCGGACAAUUUACAAGGUGCUGCAUGGUUGUCGUCAGCUCGUGCCGUGAGGUGU